RNAcentral lists this small RNA (593 nucleotides) under Pongo abelii (Sumatran orangutan). RNAcentral describes it as "retained intron". Lineage: Eukaryota; Metazoa; Chordata; Mammalia; Primates; Hominidae. The record is from RNAcentral.
UUCGGACCUAGGUGGCCUGGGCUGUGGCCUGAAGAACAGGUCCUCAGAGGGCCCCAGCUCCCCUUCCGGGAAGCUCAUGAGCCCCAAGCUGUAUGUGUGGGCCAAAGACCGCCCUAAGAUCUGGGAGGGAGAGCCUCCAUGUGGCCCACCAAGGGACAGCCUGAACCAGAGCCUCAGCCAGGACCUCACCAUGGCCCCUGGCUCCACACUCUGGCUGUCCUGUGGGGUACCCCCUGACUCUGUGUCCAGGGGCCCCCUCUCCUGGACCCAUGUGCACCCCGAGGGGCGUAAGUCCUCAUUGCUGAGCCUAGAGCUGAAGGACGAUCGCCCGGCCAGAGAUAUGUGGGUAAUGGAGACGGGUCUGUUGUUGCCCCGGGCCACAGCUCAAGACGCUGGAAAGUAUUAUUGUCACCGUGGCAACCUGACCAUGUCAUUCUACCUGGAGAUCACUGCUCGGCCAGGUAGAGUUUCUCUCAACUGGGAGGCAUCUGUGUGGGGGUACUGGGAAGAAGUGGAAGCCAGUCAAUCUUAGAUUCCCCCAACCUGAGGGCUACUCCCAGCCUCACCCCAAACCCCAACUUCCACACAGAACA